GGGCCUGUAGCUCAGUUGGUUAGAGCAUCUCGUUUACACCGAGAGGGUCGGGGGUUCGAGUCCCUCCGGGCCCA
This 74-nucleotide transfer RNA is filed under the name Leucobacter chromiiresistens. It matches the Rfam family "tRNA". Rfam says of the family: Transfer RNA (tRNA) molecules are approximately 80 nucleotides in length. Their secondary structure includes four short double-helical elements and three loops (D, anti-codon, and T loops). The record is from Rfam by way of RNAcentral. RNAcentral also lists the same sequence under 2 other names. Lineage: Bacteria; Bacillati; Actinomycetota; Actinomycetes; Micrococcales; Microbacteriaceae.